RNAcentral lists this ribosomal RNA (851 nucleotides) under Vannella calycinucleolus. RNAcentral describes it as "bacterial SSU rRNA". It matches the Rfam family "Eukaryotic small subunit ribosomal RNA", at positions 1006 to 1828 of the family's 1831-position model. Lineage: Eukaryota; Discosea; Flabellinia; Vannellidae. The record is from RNAcentral.
GAUUAGAUACCGUCGUAGUCUUAACUAUAAACUAUGCCGACCAGGGAUAUGAGUUGUUAUGAAUGAUUUUUAAUCAUUCAAUUUCCUCUUGUGGACCUUGUGAGAAAUCAUAAGUUUUUGGGUUCUGGGGGGAGUAUGGUCGCAAGGCUGAAACUUAAAGGAAUUGACGGAGGGGCACCACCAGGAGUGGGGCGUGCGGCUUAAUUUGACUCGACACGGGAAAACUUACCAGGUCCAGACAUUAGAAGGAUUGACAGAUUGAUAGCUCUUUCAUGAUUUAAUGGGUGGUGGUGCAUGGCCGUUCUUAGUUGGUGGAGUGAUUUGUCUGGUUAAUUCCGAUAACGAACGAGACCUUUACCAUACUAAAUAGUUUGAUUUAUUCAUUUAUGAAUAGAUUUAUUUUUAUUAAACUUCUUAGAGGGACUAUUGGUUCUUAAACCAAAGGAAGUAAAGGCGAUAACAGGUCUGUGAUGCCCUUAGAUGUUCUGGGCUGCACGCGCGCUACAAUGAUAAACUCAACGAGUAUUUAAUAUUUAUUUAUUAUAUUGCUGUAUUGGAAAAUAUGGCUAAUCUUAAACGUUUAUCGUGCUUGGGAUAGAUGAUUGCAAUUAUUUAUCUUGAACCAGGAAUUCCUAGUAAUCGUAUAUCAUCAGUGUGCGAUGAUUACGUCCCUGCCCCUUGUACACACCGCCCGUCGCUGCUACCGAUUGGAUGAUCCGGUGAAAUCCUCGGAUAAUGAUAAAUACUUUACUUUUUUGUAAAGUUUAUCGUUAGAAGUUGAUUAAACCUUAUCAUCUAGAGGAAGCAAAAGUCGUAACAAGGUUUCCGUAGGUGAACCUGCAGAAGGAUCA